UCUGGUCACCACCUUGGCCUCACCUGGUCUUGGUGAAUCUGGUCCCCACCUGGCCUCACCUGGACCUGGUGACUAUGGUCUCUACCUGGGCCUCAA
RNAcentral lists this microRNA precursor (96 nucleotides) under Canis lupus familiaris (dog). RNAcentral describes it as "miRNA (ENSCAFG00000055060.1, ENSCAFG00000057438.1, ENSCAFG00845012333.1)". The record is from RNAcentral. Lineage: Eukaryota; Metazoa; Chordata; Mammalia; Carnivora; Canidae.